This 273-nucleotide ribosomal RNA is filed under the name uncultured bacterium. RNAcentral describes it as "partial 16S ribosomal RNA". It matches the Rfam family "Bacterial small subunit ribosomal RNA", at positions 524 to 796 of the family's 1533-position model. The record is from RNAcentral.
UACGGAGGAUCCAAGCGUUAUCCGGAUUUAUUGGGUUUAAAGGGUGCGUAGGCGGAAUAGUAAGUCAGUGGUGAAAGCCUGCAGCUUAACUGUAGAAUUGCCAUUGAUACUGCUAAUCUUGAGUACAUAUGAAGUGGGCGGAAUGUGUCAUGUAGCGGUGAAAUGCUUAGAUAUGACACAGAACACCGAUUGCGAAGGCAGCUCACUAAACUGUAACUGACGCUGAGGCACGAAAGCAUGGGGAGCAAACAGGAUUAGAAACCCCCGUAGUCC